CAUCAUACAAUAUUUUUUUCCUAGUCAACAAUAGAUUAACCCUAAAAAAACCAGAAAACAAUAGAUGUACCGUACUGAUUCAUGUAAGUAAUCAAUUUAGUGUAUUUCCGCCUAAUAUUCAGUUUUCUACUUUAAGAGUUGUGCAGUUUGGCAACAUGACAUUGUGUUAAACAAUAACUUCUAACAAGUAAUUCCAUCAAAUCAAAGUAAUGGUUGUCAAUGCCAUAUUGGCUGUCAGUCAUAUGAACCUGUACAUUUAAAGUGUGGAGAGCACUAAACUCCGACUUGACCACGUUGAUGAUCACCUGCACAGGGCACAUGCGCCUUGCUGAAUGGGUAUUCUGGGACCGCCGGAUGGCUUCCUCUGCCCCUACCAUGAUAUCUACAACACCUUGAGAUGCUAUAACAAGUCCCCCGUUGUCUUUCCGCUUCAGCAGGUGAUACAAAAAAUUAUAGCACUUACCUGUGAAAUGUUACGCCUCCUUCCUUCGUAGACUCAUUCGGCAGUUGGCAGUUGAAACCCGCACAAUGACCCGGCAUUUUGCAAAAACUUUGUUCACAUGCAUGCACUGCAGCAGUGACUAGACCUCACCAAGAUGGCGGUGCUCUCAUCCCACAAGGAAUCAUGUCAUGUCGCCUCUAGCGAUAGAACUCAUUGGUUAAAACCCUCUCUGGUGAGACCAGCAGAGGGGGCUGGACUGAUCAGAGGAUUUUCUUCAGAAGGACGCUCUUCCACGGAUCACUCUGCUUCUCCCCAUCAACAUGUCAUCUGUGCUUCAGAACAGCUGAUGCAGGGGCUUCUGGGUAGGAAGGCCACCGGGUUUUGUUACCAACAGUAUCUGGACAAAUGUCAGCUGAAGUAGACACACACCUGAUCAAGCCCAGUCGGACAUUUUUGGAUGGAUAUGCGAGUAGAGACGCUGUUAUCAGGGCAGCGAUGGGGGGCAAUGGUUCGCUGCUGCCCCAACGGACCGUCAGCAGUAAUGAGUGAUGAGCGCAGGCAUCCCGUCUCAGCGCUCCUCUUUACUGGUAGGGUGCUUCCAUGCCCCGCCCCCCUCCACCCAACACAGUGAAGAUCAAGCCAAACAUUUAGGCUCAAACUUACCCAGCUUUCUCUCCAUCCGGGGGGCCAUGCAUCCAUCCUGUAGUCACACCAUGUAUCCCCCCACCCCACAGAUCUGUUCUAAUGAACUUCCAACAUGAAGGAAAGACGGACUGUGGGGGCAUUUACAGGAGCAGGAAGUUUACAGACAUGAGAGGAGUCCGCUCAAAGCUAACUGAAUCAACCAUCUCUGUUAAACAUUAAAGAAAACCUCACAUUA
This is a non-coding RNA of Oryzias latipes (Japanese medaka), 1322 nucleotides long. The record is from RefSeq and is a predicted model, not a curated record. NCBI's taxonomy places the organism in Eukaryota, Metazoa, Chordata, Actinopteri, Beloniformes, Adrianichthyidae.